GGGCCUGUAGCUCAGAGGAUUAGA
Molecule: transfer RNA, 24 nt
Filed under: Mus musculus (house mouse)
Lineage: Eukaryota; Metazoa; Chordata; Mammalia; Rodentia; Muridae
Also listed under: 1 other name
Description: piRNA piR-mmu-31501206
Source: RNAcentral